GUGGGGAAUAUUGGGCAAUGGGCGAAAGCCUGACCCAGCAACGCCACGUGAAGGAAGAAGGUUUUCGGAUCGUAAACUUCUAUCCUUGGUGAAGAUAAUGACGGUAGCCAAGAAGGAAGCCCCGGCUAACUACGUGCCAGCAGCCGCGGUAAUACGUAGGGGGCAAGCGUUGUCCGGAAUGAUUGGGCGUAAAGGGCGCGUAGGCGGCCCGGUAAGUCUGAAGUGAAAGUCCUGCUUUUAAGGUGGGAAUUGCUUUGGAUACUGUCGGGCUUGAGUGCAGGAGAGGUAAGCGGAAUUCCCGGUGUAGCGGUGAAAUGCGUAGAGAUCGGGAGGAACACCAGUGGCGAAGGCGGCUUACUGGACUGUAACUGACGCUGAGGCGCGAAAGUGUGGGGAGCAAACAGGAUUAGAUACCCUAGUAGUCC
RNAcentral lists this ribosomal RNA (425 nucleotides) under uncultured bacterium. Its description in RNAcentral is "partial 16S ribosomal RNA". It matches the Rfam family "Bacterial small subunit ribosomal RNA", at positions 354 to 796 of the family's 1533-position model. The record is from RNAcentral.